AAAGGACAGGAAGGAGACCUCUUGCUCAUUACUUUCAGGAGGUAGCACUGUUACAGAGAGCUGUAUAGUAGGGGAAGAUAAAAUAACUAAAAAUAGUUCAAAAGAUGGAAGAAGAGCCUACAGAAAGCAACAUUGAAGAAAAGAGUGAGGCAGAAGAGCCUACAAAAAGAAACAUCGAAGAAAAGUGUGAGGCAGAAGAGCCUACACAGAGCAACGCAGAGGAAAAGAAUGAGGCAGAAGCGGGGCCUGCUGGGCGCGAGAACAAGCGUGAUGAAAAGAGGGAGAAGAUAAUUAAGAAAGUGAAAGAAGUGCUGGCUCAGAGCCCGAACAAGGCCAAGAACCCAACGGUAAAUUAUUUUCUGUAGAUUCUAUAAAAGGACUCUUUCCAGCAGUACAGUAUACAUGUAUCCAGAAUUAAAUAAAAUGUAGCCAAAACUAAUAAUCUUUUAUGAACAUUUUCAUAAUUUUCUAUUUUCUUUUUCAUUCUUGAUUUUUAGCUCUUUGUUCUAGUCUUCUGUCAGUAUAAAAUCCCAAAAGUGC
RNAcentral lists this long non-coding RNA (540 nucleotides) under Rattus norvegicus (Norway rat). Its description in RNAcentral is "long non-coding RNA NONRATT033864". Lineage: Eukaryota; Metazoa; Chordata; Mammalia; Rodentia; Muridae. The record is from RNAcentral.